ACGAGGAAUUCCUAGUAAGCACGGGUCAUCAGCCCGUGCUGAUUACGUCCCUGCAAAAUGUACACACCGCCCGUCGCUAUUACCGAUUGAGUGUAAAGGUGAACCUUCUCGAUAGACGCAAGUCUAAAAAUUAAGUAAACCUUUGCACUUAGAGGAAAUAAAAGUCGUAACAAGGUUUCCGUAGGUGAACCUGCGGAAGGAUC
RNAcentral lists this ribosomal RNA (203 nucleotides) under Vorticella cf. microstoma. Its description in RNAcentral is "partial 18S ribosomal RNA". It matches the Rfam family "Eukaryotic small subunit ribosomal RNA", at positions 1603 to 1827 of the family's 1831-position model. Lineage: Eukaryota; Ciliophora; Oligohymenophorea; Sessilida; Vorticellidae. The record is from RNAcentral.